AAAUUACACCAUGUAAUUAAUUAAUUUUUUUACUCUUCUUCAGAAGACUACACUAGACGACUCUUUUUUAUUUGAUUGAUGUAGGGUUGCCAGGACUGUGAUAUUUGGUGGCCCUCUUAAUGGUGCUAUGGCAGAAGAUCUUCAUCAAAGUGCCAAAGAGACUGGCACUGUGUGUUCUGUAACUUACCCCAUUCCCAAGGAAAAGCUGUGAAAACAUGGAAAAGUGAAAGAUGUGCUGAAGAUCCGCCUAUUGACUUAUGAAACUAGAGGUAUUGUGUUUGCGGGUCAGGGUUCCAAGAUAAAGAAAUGGAAAGUUAAUGCCAGAAGUCUUCCUUUCAAGGCUAUCAAGAAGUUCGACAGGAAAAAGUUUGGCAAAAGACCCACAGCUGUUGACUGGGCUGUUCCAAAAAAGAUCUAUAGUAGUGGUGCUAAUGUGUCUGCUGCUUCAGAAGAUGUGCUUGUACAGAACAUCAGAAUGAAAGAGACAGUAGCAGUGAGGAUUUGGAUGAUGACGAAGACGAUACAGAGGUUAUUUGGAUGAUGGUGAGGAAACUCCAGCUGCUGAAGGCAUUUUAACUAGCGAUAUGGCUGCGAGGAACAGGUUGCAUGAAGAGAAGAUGCUAAGCUUCAAUCUCAAAAUCUUCAUAUUGUAUACAAUUUACCAAAGUCAUUGACCGAGAAACAACUGAAGAAGCUUUUCAUUGACGCUGUUACCUCACGCGCUACAAAGCAAAAACCUGUCACUCAACAGAUAAAGUUUUUGAAGAGUAUAAAGAAGGGAAAGGUUGUAAUCAUUCAUGGGGAGUUGCUUUUGUUGAGUUAACCGUUCAUCAGCAUGUGCUGUUGGCCCCGAGGGUUCUAAAUAAUAAUCCUGAAACUUUUGGUCCUGAACAUCGCUUGAUAGUCUCUUUUGCUCUUGCUAAUGUUCAAAUUUUGAAGCUAGGAAAAGCUAAGCUAAGCUUCGAGCUCAGCAGCUGGAAACCCAUAAAAGUUCUAAAGAUAUGCAGGAAAACGAUGAGUCACAGACAUAAAUGCCAUUCCAAGCCAAAAGCAGAUGUCCAGAAAAAAAGGAAAUCCAUAGUUGAGAAUAGAGUAGUGAAGGACACUCGAAAUCAAAUAGAAUUGAUGAAGUGAAAAAUAAGGAUUCUGAUAGAAAAUUCUUGAAAGAACGCGGUACUAAAAAGCAUACUUCUGACAAACCUGAAGGUGAAAUUUUGGAGAAAAGAAAAAGGCUAAAAAAGAAUUAAGACUCUGUGGGACAGGAUGUGGUAGAUAAACCUGACAUGCUGAUCGAACAAUACAAAUUGAAAUUCUCCAAGCAUACUUCUGACAAACCUUAAGGUGAAAAGCAAGCCAAUAGACAGCUUAAAAGAUGGUUCCGAUUAUGAUUUCCUUUCAGUGGGUUUUUGUAGCAUUUAAUGGUGGAUUCUUUCGUAGAAGAGUUGCGGUAAUUGAUUUUAAUGCAAUUGCUAGACAUCUUUGUACUCUCAAAUCUGACAGUUUUGGUUAACCUGUAAUCCUGCAUGUGUUGUUGAAGUAUGUUGAAUUCGCUGUUCCUUCAGCAAGAACGGUUCUCAGCCGAUUGAUGUAAUUAAGUAUUAUAAUACAAGAUUAAUUGGCAGAAAGCAUUUUUUUACUUGAAAA
This is a long non-coding RNA of Populus euphratica (Euphrates poplar), 1644 nucleotides long. RefSeq lists it as uncharacterized. NCBI's taxonomy places the organism in Eukaryota, Viridiplantae, Streptophyta, Magnoliopsida, Malpighiales, Salicaceae. The record is from RefSeq and is a predicted model, not a curated record. The transcript has 7 exons.